RNAcentral lists this ribosomal RNA (625 nucleotides) under Gimesia maris. RNAcentral describes it as "bacterial SSU rRNA". It matches the Rfam family "Bacterial small subunit ribosomal RNA", at positions 213 to 833 of the family's 1533-position model. Lineage: Bacteria; Pseudomonadati; Planctomycetota; Planctomycetia; Planctomycetales; Planctomycetaceae. The record is from RNAcentral.
UUCCGUCGGAGGAGCGGCCUGUGCGACAUCAGGUAGUUGGUGAGGUAACGGCUCACCAAGCCUAAGACGUCUAGGGGGUGUGAGAGCAUGGCCCCCACCACUGGGACUGAGAUACUGCCCAGACACCUACGGGUGGCUGCAGUCGAGAAUCUUCGGCAAUGCGCGCAAGCGUGACCGAGCGACGCCGCGUGUGGGAUGAAGGCCCUUGGGUUGUAAACCACUGUCAGAGGGGAUGAAGUGCCGGAGAGCUAUCUCUCCGGUUUGACAUAGCCUCAGAGGAAGCACGGGCUAAGUUCGUGCCAGCAGCCGCGGUAAUACGAACUGUGCGAACGUUAUUCGGAAUCACUGGGCUUAAAGGGUGCGUAGGCGGCUGUUUAAGUAGGGUGUGAAAGCCCCCGGCUCAACCGGGGAAUUGCGCCCUAAACUGGACAGCUUGAGUGAGAUAGGGGUGUACGGAACUUCCGGUGGAGCGGUGAAAUGUGUUGAUAUCGGAAGGAACGCCGGUAGCGAAAGCGGUACACUGGGUCUUAACUGACGCUGANGCACGAAAGCCAGGGGAGCGAACGGGAUUAGAUACCNCGGUAGUCCUGGCUGUAAACGAUGAGCACUAGUUGGUAGAGGCUUC